AACGUAGGAGACAAACGUUAUCCGGAGUUACUGGGCGUAAAGGGCUCGUAGGCGGCCAACUAAGUCGGAUGUGAAAUCCCCAAGCUUAACUUGGGAACUGCAUCCGAUACUGGAUGGCUUGAAUCCGGGAGAGGGAUGCAGAAUUCCAGGUGUAGCGGUGAAAUGCGUAGAUAUCUGGAGGAACACCGGUGGCGAAGGCGGCAUCCUGGACCGGCAUUGACGCUGAGGCGCGAAAGCCAGGGGAGCAAACGGG
RNAcentral lists this ribosomal RNA (253 nucleotides) under uncultured bacterium. Its description in RNAcentral is "partial 16S ribosomal RNA". It matches the Rfam family "Bacterial small subunit ribosomal RNA", at positions 524 to 776 of the family's 1533-position model. The record is from RNAcentral.